This 471-nucleotide ribosomal RNA is filed under the name uncultured bacterium. Its description in RNAcentral is "bacterial SSU rRNA". It matches the Rfam family "Bacterial small subunit ribosomal RNA", at positions 329 to 792 of the family's 1533-position model. The record is from RNAcentral.
GCAGAGCAUCCUACGGGAGGCAGCAGUGGGGAAUAGUUGCACAAUGGGCGCAAGCCUGAUGCAGCCAUGCCGCGUGUAUGAAGAAGGCCUUCGGGUUGUAAAGUACUUUCAGCAGUGAGGAAGGUGGAUAUGUUAAUAGCAUAUUCAUUUGACGUUAGCUGCAGAAGAAGCACCGGCUAACUCCGUGCCAGCAGCCGCGGUAAUACGGAGGGUGCGAGCGUUAAUCGGAAUUACUGGGCGUAAAGCGCAUGCAGGUGGUUUGUUAAGUCAGAUGUGAAAGCCCGGGGCUCAACCUCGGAAUUGCAUUUGAAACUGGCAAACUAGAGUACUGUAGAGGGGGUAGAAUUUCAGGUGUAGCGGUGAAAUGCGUAGAGAUCUGAAGGAAUACCGGUGGCGAAGGCGGCCCCCUGGACAGAUACUGACACUCAGAUGCGAAAGCGUGGGGAGCAAACAGGAUUAGAUACCCUGGUG